UCAAUUUUGUGCAUUUGGUUGUAAAGAUUCCUCAAUUUUGCAUUUGGAAUAUUUGGGUGUGAUUCUUUGGUUGAUUCAAAGAUGGGUUCUCUUGUUGUGUUAUUGAGAUUGAAGUAGAGAGAAAUAGAGAGGGAAUAUGGGUCAUGUUGAAGAGAAGCUUAAGCCAGCUCGGCCGAUCAAUGGGACAAAUACUCUGCUUGAGGAGAUGAAAAUAUUGAAAGAAAUGCAGGAUAUUUCUG
Molecule: long non-coding RNA, 239 nt
Filed under: Panax ginseng (ginseng)
Lineage: Eukaryota; Viridiplantae; Streptophyta; Magnoliopsida; Apiales; Araliaceae
Description: long non-coding RNA (PGIN_LNC006964)
Source: RNAcentral